GAUGAACGCUGGCGGCGUGCCUAAUACAUGCAAGUCGAGCGAACAGAUGAGGAGCUUGCUCCUCUGACGUUAGCGGCGGACGGGUGAGUAACACGUGGAUAACCUACCUAUAGGACUGGGAUAACUUCGGGAAACCGGAGCUAAUACCGGAUAAUAUAUUGAACCGCAUGGUUCAAUAGUGAAAGACGGUUUUGCUGUCACUUAUAGAUGGAUCCGCGCCGCAUUAGCUAGUUGGUAAGGUAACGGCUUACCAAGGCAACGAUGCGUAGCCGACCUGAGAGGGUGAUCGGCCACACUGGAACUGAGAAACGGUCCAGACUCCUACGGGAGGCAGCAGUAGGGAAUCUUCCGCAAUGGGCGAAAGCCUGACGGAGCAACGCCGCGUGAGUGAUGAAGGUCUUCGGAUCGUAAAACUCUGUUAUUAGGGAAGAACAAAUGUGUAAGUAACUAUGCACGUCUUGACGGUACCUAAUCAGAAAGCCACGGCUAACUACGU
Molecule: ribosomal RNA, 496 nt
Filed under: uncultured bacterium
Lineage: Bacteria
Description: partial 16S ribosomal RNA
Rfam family: Bacterial small subunit ribosomal RNA
Source: RNAcentral